CUCAUUUCUUACAACAGAGACAAAAAGAUCAUUUUCAGCACUUUGUGCAGCCAUGUCAAAUAGAUUCGGAGAUCAUGGGUAUCCAGAAACAUACAGACAAGAGAUUCAUACUCUGGGAAAGUAUGAUAGAGAAUCAAUUCAAGAGUAUGCUUCUAGGGUAGAGAUGCUAGUCAGGAAGUCUUUCUCCACAAUUGACACAGCAACACACAGUACAUGCAGUGUUGAGUAUAUGCUCAGAGGACUGCCGG
RNAcentral lists this long non-coding RNA (248 nucleotides) under Mytilus galloprovincialis (Mediterranean mussel). Lineage: Eukaryota; Metazoa; Mollusca; Bivalvia; Mytilida; Mytilidae. The record is from RNAcentral.